Molecule: small nuclear RNA, 103 nt
Organism: Gorilla gorilla gorilla (western lowland gorilla)
Lineage: Eukaryota; Metazoa; Chordata; Mammalia; Primates; Hominidae
Source: RefSeq, a predicted model, not a curated record
GUGUUGCUUUGGCAGCUCGUAUACUGAAAUUAGAAUAACAUGGAGAUUAGCAUGGCCUCUGUUCAAGAACAACAUGUAAAUUCAUGAAGCAUUCCAUUUUUUU